ACAGCCUUAUCAUGUUGAGACACCAUUUCUGGUACGAUCACUGAAGUUAAGCAACAUCGAGCCUGGUCAGUAUCUAGAUGGGUGACUGCUUGGGAAUACCAGGUGCUGUAA
Non-coding RNA from Acanthosepion pharaonis, 111 nucleotides. NCBI's taxonomy places the organism in Eukaryota, Metazoa, Mollusca, Cephalopoda, Sepiida, Sepiidae. The record is from the annotation of a GenBank genome assembly.